CGCAGGAGGCGGGCUCAGCGCUGACGGGCUGCGCCUCUGCAGCCAGAGGGAGGAGGGCGGGAAGGCGUGCGGCGGCGGCGGCGGCGGCGGAGGAGGAGAAGGAGGCGGGGACUACGCCGGGCCGUAGCUGGCGCCGAGCGCGGUGGGAGCGGAGAGGGUACACGGCUGGCUCGGCUGGCGGCCUCAGCCCGGACCUCGACGCCGCAGCCCUGCGCCUCCCGAGCCCUUGUCUCAGUCUCCGCGACCGCAAGCACGGCGGAGGCGGCGGAGCUGUGGGCCACUGGUAUUCCUUAGCAGCAACCAGGAAAAGAAAAGAAUGAGAAAAAGAAUCCAAUUCCUAUUUCAUAUUCCAUAAUCAAGACAAGAAUAAGAAGAUGGAAACACUUAAGGCAGAGGAUUGAAGGUGAGUGAAAACAUAUGAGGGACGGAUUGUGGAGGAGAUGGAGUGGACAAGAAUAUAAAUAGAGUAUUGUGGCACAGCCCCAAAAAUAUAUACAUAUAUAUAUUACAAAGCAAGUCAAUUACAUCAUAGAGUCAGUCAUGCCAGUUGGUCAAUAUCUUGUGAAACAAAUAAUGUG
Molecule: long non-coding RNA, 578 nt
Filed under: Monodon monoceros (narwhal)
Lineage: Eukaryota; Metazoa; Chordata; Mammalia; Artiodactyla; Monodontidae
Description: lncRNA (ENSMMNG00015007961.1)
Source: RNAcentral